RNAcentral lists this ribosomal RNA (35 nucleotides) under Dactylellina cionopaga. RNAcentral's name for it is "partial 28S large subunit ribosomal RNA". The record is from RNAcentral. Lineage: Eukaryota; Fungi; Ascomycota; Orbiliomycetes; Orbiliales; Orbiliaceae.
UGACCUCAGAUCAGAUAAGGAUACCCGCUGAACUU